AUUGAACGCUGGCGGCAGGCCUAACACAUGCAAGUCGAGCGGAUGAAGGGAGCUUGCUCCUGGAUUCAGCGGCGGACGGGUGAGUAAUGCCUAGGAAUCUGCCUGGUAGUGGGGGAUAACGUCCGGAAACGGGCGCUAAUACCGCAUACGUCCUGAGGGAGAAAGUGGGGGAUCUUCGGACCUCACGCUAUCAGAUGAGCCUAGGUCGGAUUAGCUAGUUGGUGGGGUAAAGGCCUACCAAGGCGACGAUCCGUAACUGGUCUGAGAGGAUGAUCAGUCACACUGUAACUGAGACACGGUCCAGACUCCUACGGGAGGCAGCAGUGGGGAAUAUUGGACAAUGGGCGAAAGCCUGAUCCAGCCAUGCCGCGUGUGUGAAGAAGGUCUUCGGAUUGUAAAGCACUUUAAGUUGGGAGGAAGGGCAGUAAGUUAAUACCUUGCUGUGUUGACGUUACCAACAGAAUAAGCACCGGCUAACUUCGUG
RNAcentral lists this ribosomal RNA (484 nucleotides) under uncultured bacterium. RNAcentral's name for it is "partial 16S ribosomal RNA". It matches the Rfam family "Bacterial small subunit ribosomal RNA", at positions 30 to 507 of the family's 1533-position model. The record is from RNAcentral.